CCAGACUCCUACGGGAGGCAGCAGUGAGGAAUAUUGCGCAAUGGGGGCAACCCUGACGCAGCAACGCCGCGUGAGUGAGGAAGGUUUUCGGAUUGUAAAGCUCUGUCGAGCGGAAAGAAGUGCAUGGUGGUUAAUAUCCAUCAUGCUUGACGGUACCGCUAAAGGAAGCACCGGCUAACUCCGUGCCAGCAGCCGCGGUAAUACGGGGGGUGCAAGCGUUGUUCGGAAUCAUUGGGCGUAAAGCGCGUGUAGGCGGCUGGACAAGUCAGAUGUGAAAGCCCUGGGCUUAACCCAGGAAGUGCAUUUGAAACUGUUCAGCUAGAGUAAGGGAGAGGAAAGUGGAAUUCCUGGUGUAGAGGUGAAAUUCGUAGAUAUCAGGAGGAACACCGGUGGCGAAGGCGACUUUCUGGCCCUAUACUGACGCUGAGACGCGAAAGCGUGGGUAGCAAACAGGAUUAGAUACCCUGGUAGUCCACGCUGUAAGCGAUGUUCACUAGGUGUUGGGGGUAUUGACCCUUCCAGUGCCGCAGCUAACGCAUUAAGUGAA
RNAcentral lists this ribosomal RNA (547 nucleotides) under uncultured bacterium. RNAcentral describes it as "bacterial SSU rRNA". It matches the Rfam family "Bacterial small subunit ribosomal RNA", at positions 331 to 868 of the family's 1533-position model. The record is from RNAcentral.